RNAcentral lists this long non-coding RNA (388 nucleotides) under Bos taurus (domestic cattle). Its description in RNAcentral is "long non-coding RNA NONBTAT022136". Lineage: Eukaryota; Metazoa; Chordata; Mammalia; Artiodactyla; Bovidae. The record is from RNAcentral.
GCCACACAGACUUUCAUUAAUUUCAUAAACAAUGGGCUACUUUUGUUAAUGCUAGUGCCAGGAACUAUUAUUAACAUAGGCAGUCCCCAAAUAAAUGAGAUUAUCUGCAUUCGAAAGUUCUCUCACCCUAGUUAAGAGGAGUAGACAGUCGGUUACACUGUGAUACUUGAGGACUUUAGUUAUGCUGUGCUGUGUGCAGAAUGCUGCCUGAGCCCAGAAUAGGGAGUAGUACCUGGAGCAGUGAUGUAAUUAAUCACCCCCAAAAGCCCUAUUAAUAAAACCUUGCAAAGUCACUCUCUUCUUGGCUGCCAGCCUUUCUCAUCCUGAUCCAUCCUUUGCAGAAGCAGCAGAAUUAACUUACUAAAAAUCAGAUCUGACCAGUUUGAGC